AGCGAACGCUGGCGGCAGGCUUAACACAUGCAAGUCGAGCGGGCACUUUCGGGUGUCCGCGGCGGACGGGUGAGUAACGCGUGGGAACGUGCCCUCUGGUUCGGAAUAACUCAGGGAAACUUGAGCUAAUACCGGAUACGCCCUUUUGGGGAAAGGCUUGCUGCCGGAGGAUCGGCCCGCGUCUGAUUAGCUAGUUGGUGAGGUAACGGCUCACCAAGGCGACGAUCAGUAGCUGGUCUGAGAGGAUGAUCAGCCACACUGGGACUGAGACACGGCCCAGACUCCUACGGGAGGCAGCAGUGGGGAAUAUUGGACAAUGGGCGCAAGCCUGAUCCAGCCAUGCCGCGUGAGUGAUGAAGGCCUUAGGGUUGUAAAGCUCUUUUAUCCGGGACGAUAAUGACGGUACCGGAGGAAUAAGCCCCGGCUAACUUCGU
Molecule: ribosomal RNA, 434 nt
Filed under: uncultured bacterium
Lineage: Bacteria
Description: partial 16S ribosomal RNA
Rfam family: Bacterial small subunit ribosomal RNA
Source: RNAcentral